CCGAGUUUACAACUCCCAAACCCCUGUGAACAUACCUAUACGUUGCCUCGGCGGAUCAGCCCGCGCCCCGUAAAAAGAGACGGCCCGCCCGAGGACCCCUAAACUCUGUUUUUAGUGGAACUUCUGAGUAAAACAAACAAAUAAAUCA
This 148-nucleotide unclassified non-coding RNA is filed under the name soil metagenome. RNAcentral's name for it is "partial internal transcribed spacer 1". The record is from RNAcentral.